Oncorhynchus keta (chum salmon) is the source of this 1422-nucleotide long non-coding RNA. RefSeq lists it as uncharacterized. The transcript is spliced from 3 exons. Lineage: Eukaryota; Metazoa; Chordata; Actinopteri; Salmoniformes; Salmonidae. The record is from RefSeq and is a predicted model, not a curated record.
AGAAACAUAAACCUUUUACCUUAUCAUAAUUAGACAUAAUUGAAAAUGAACGGGCAGUUAACCCACUGUUCCUAGGCCGUCAUUGAAAAUAAGAAUUUGUUCUUAACUGACUUGCCUAGUUAAAUAAAGGUAAAAUAAAUAAAAACAUUCAACCACCCAUCAGAGAUGAUUGCAAUAGCCUGCUUUCUCUAUGAUUUGCUUGACCUUCACUUGAACUCUGCCUCCAGCAAAUGAGGAGAUAAUGUCUGGUUGGAGGGGUGUAUGCUGGGAGAAGAACAUUCACAAAUCUCUUCCAACACGCAUUGCCUGUGAGCAUCAGAGGUGAACCAGUUGCAUACACAGCUUGAGCAAGACAUUCAUCAGCAUUUCUCUGACUACGUUCCUCCAUUGAGUUAAACAACGUCUGAUUCCAGGAGAACCAUGAGCUGUUGAUAAGGUGUCUGAUUCUAGGAGAACCAUGAGCUGUCGAUAAGGUGUCUGAUUCCAGGAGAAUCAUGAGCUGUCGAUAAGGUGUCUGAUUCCAGGAGAAUCAUGAGCUGUCGAUAAGGUGUCUGAUUCCAGGAGAACCAUGAGCUGUUGAUAAGGUGUCUGAUUCCAGGAGAACCAUGAGCUGUUGAUAAGGUGUCUGAUUCCAGGAGAACCAUGAGCUGUUGAUAAGGUGUCUGAUUCCAGGAGAACCAUGAGCUGUUGAUAAGGUGUCUGAUUCCAGGAGAACCAUGAGCUGUUGAUAAGGUGUCUGAUUCCAGGAGAACCAUGAGCUGUUGAUAAGGUGUCUGAUUCCAGGAGAACCAUGAGCUGUUGAUAAGGUGUCUGAUUCCAGGAGAAUCAUGAGCUGUUGAUAAGGUGUCUGAUUCCAGGAGAACCAUGAGCUGUCGAUAAGGUGUCUGAUUCCAGGAGAAUCAUGAGCUGUCGAUAAGGUGUCUGAUUCCAGGAGAAUCAUGAGCUGUCGAUAAGGUGUCUGAUUCCAGGAGAACCAUGAGCUGUUGAUAAGGUGUCUGAUUCCAGGAGAACCAUGAGCUGUCGAUAAGGUGUCUGAUUCCAGGAGAACCAUGAGCUGUUGAUAAGGUGUCUGCUUCAUAAUGUUCUGCUCCAAUAGAAGUAGAGGGAUGUUUGUCAGUUGCUUGUUGUCAGCGCUGAGGGAACGUUAUGCACUUGGUCAGAUGAUCCUGCAUCAUUGUUGCAUUCUUCACAUAUGAUUUGGCACAGUAUUUGUAAAUGUACACAGCUUUUCCUUCUACAUUAGCUGCAGUGAAAUGUCUCCACACAUCAGAUGGGGCCCGUGGCAUUUUCCUGUAAAGAUGAGAAAAAAAUUAGUAUUAAAAAACAAAUCCAAUUCCAUGUACAGAUGAAUAGUGACAGCGUUAGAUGAAACAACUCCUUUGUAAGAUAAAUGUUUUAACAUGAAACGGGUGAAUUAACAAU